Molecule: unclassified non-coding RNA, 336 nt
Filed under: soil metagenome
Description: partial contains 5.8S ribosomal RNA, internal transcribed spacer 2, and large subunit ribosomal RNA
Rfam family: 5.8S ribosomal RNA (bases 1-120)
Source: RNAcentral
GAUGAAGAACGUAGCGAAAUGCGAUAAGUAAUGUGAAUUGCAGAAUUCAGUGAAUCAUCGAAUCUUUGAACGCACAUUGCGCCCGCCAGCAUUCUGGCGGGCAUGCCUGUUCGAGCGUCAUUUCAACCCUCAAGCUCUGCUUGGUGUUGGGGCCCUACGGUUGACGUAGGCCCUUAAAGGUAGUGGCGGACCCUCUCGGAGCCUCCUUUGCGUAGUAACUAACGUCUCGCAUUGGGAUUCGGAGGGACUCUUGCCGUAAAACCCCCAAAUUUUCUAAUGGUUGACCUCGGAUCAGGUAGGAAUACCCGCUGAACUUAAGCAUAUCAUAGCGGAGGA